GUUUGAUCCUGGCUCAGGAUGAACGCUGGCGGCGUGCCUAAUACAUGCAAGUCGAACGAGGUGCCUUUGUAGCAAUACGAGGGUAUCCUAGUGGCGAACGGGUGAGUAACGCGUUGGUGACCUGCCCCGAAGUGUGGGAUAACAGUCCGAAAGGACUGCUAAUACCGCAUGCGGCCAUCGGGUUUAGAAACCGAUGUCCAAAGCAGCAAUGCGCUUUAGGAGGGACCUGCGUCCCAUCAGCUAGUUGGUAGGGUAACGGCCUACCAAGGCGACGACGGGUAGGGGACCUGAGAGGGUGACCCCCCACAAUGGAACUGAAAUACGGUCCAUACACCUACGGGUGGCAGCAGUAGGGAAUAUUGCACAAUGGGCGAAAGCCUGAUGCAGCAACGCCGCGUGCACGAUGAAGGUCUUCGGAUCGUAAAGUGCUUUUCUGGGAGAUGAGAAAGGACAGUAUCCCAGGAAUAAGUCUCGGCUAACUACGUGCCAGCAGCCGCGGUAAAACGUAGGAGGCAAGCGUUAUCCGGAUUCACUGGGCGUAAAGCGCGUGCAGGCGGUUCGGUAAGUUGGGCGUGAAAUCUCCUGGCUUAACUGGGAGAGGCCGUUCAAUACUACCGGACUAGAGAGCAGUAGAGGAAGAUGGAAUUCCCGGUGUAGUGGUGAAAUGCGUAGAUAUCGGGAGGAACACCAGUGGCGAAGGCGAUCUUCUGGACUGUUUCUGACGCUCAGACGCGAAAGCUAGGGUAGUAAACGGGAUUAGAGACCCCGGUAAUCCUAGCCGUAAACGAUGUGAACUUGGCGUCGGUAGCUUAAACACUAUCGGUGCCGCAGCAAACGCGAUAAGUUCACCGCCUGGGGACUACGAUUGCAAGAUUAAAACUCAAAGGAAUUGACGG
Molecule: ribosomal RNA, 896 nt
Filed under: uncultured bacterium
Lineage: Bacteria
Description: bacterial SSU rRNA
Rfam family: Bacterial small subunit ribosomal RNA
Source: RNAcentral